This 248-nucleotide long non-coding RNA is filed under the name Mytilus galloprovincialis (Mediterranean mussel). Lineage: Eukaryota; Metazoa; Mollusca; Bivalvia; Mytilida; Mytilidae. The record is from RNAcentral.
AUGGUAAACAAAGACACGUUUUUUUGUUCAUUUACUAUCAUUUAUUUGUAAUCGUCUUUGUCAUCAUCAUAUCAUUUAACACAGCUUCUCUUUCAUUAACAGAUGCAAAAUAUUGAAAUAGCAUCAUUGGUAAAAAGUUCCAUGCACACCACAUGCGACAUGAAGCUGACAAGCUGCUGAUGGAGGGAUGCUGCAUGCUGGGACGUUGAUUUCAUCAUCACAGGAUUGUUUGAAAGUUCUGAAGGAUG